This is a long non-coding RNA of Nematostella vectensis (starlet sea anemone), 1034 nucleotides long. RefSeq lists it as uncharacterized. The record is from RefSeq and is a predicted model, not a curated record. The transcript is spliced from 8 exons. NCBI's taxonomy places the organism in Eukaryota, Metazoa, Cnidaria, Anthozoa, Actiniaria, Edwardsiidae.
CUAUAACAUGUAUGAUAUAAGUGCAAUGUUGAGCCAGGCUACCUUGGCCGCUGUCCAAAUGUAGACCGAGUGGGUGGCAGUUUACUUGUAGAGGAGAGAGCGCACUAAUGGAUUAAAGAAAUGGAUGUACCAGUGCUAAGGUACCCCAAUAGGAUUUUUGUUGGUGGAGUAGCCUUCCAGACUACGGCAAUUGAACUCAGAGAACUGUUUGAGAGCUAUGGGGCGGUGAGAGAUGUGAAAAUUGCAAGAGAUGGAGAAGGAGUUAGCCGUGGGUAUGGAUUUGUGACGUUUUUUCGUGAUGACGAUGCGAAGAAAGUCUUCAAAUUGGGUACGGUUUUUCACAAAGGAAAAAGGCUUGUGAUUGGCGAAGCAUAUCGAAAACUGGGGGGUAUGCCCAGGUAGAUUGGCCACCCAAGCAGAUUUUGCCACAAGCUCAACAAGCCUCACAUAUCCAACACAUGAUGGCACCACAACAGUAUCAUCAACUGUGUCAUCUUCCAACACCACAAAUGUUUCUGCAACCACCACAGCUUCACCAACAUGUAGUAUCUCAGUCAUCACCCCAAUCAGAACAGCAUCCUGUCAUAUGGCAGGCUGUCUACAGGCCCUUGGGUCCACCAUGACUUAGGCUGUCCCCCUUAAGGCUCUGAAGGAGGACUACAAGAUUUUGCAGGAUUUUGUAGGAUUUUGCCAACAUUGAAGAUAAAAUCGUCCUCUUGGACCCAUGGUAGCUUGGAGUUCAGAGUAGGCGAGCGCUUGCCUCUGACCUCCGCCGCGCCCUGUGUCCCAGAGAAUGAGAUUAAAUUAGCAUACAAAGAUAGUGGUCCAGGUUAUACCACAGUAGCAAGUGUUAUUGUACAUACUUGGCAGUUUUAAUUUUGGAAAUUAGAAACACAUCGGAUAUUGUUAAGUAAUCGACCGGAAGUAAACUGGUGACAAUGCGGCUUUCAAGUUAGGCCUGUAACAGAAGGAGGGGGGGUUAGGAUUGAUCUCUCAAACUUAAAAAAACAGAUUAGAGUACCACGGCGAUUUAC